Molecule: ribosomal RNA, 367 nt
Filed under: uncultured Sphingobacteriales bacterium
Lineage: Bacteria; Pseudomonadati; Bacteroidota; Sphingobacteriia; Sphingobacteriales
Description: bacterial SSU rRNA
Rfam family: Bacterial small subunit ribosomal RNA
Source: RNAcentral
AUCUCUUCGGAGCAUUUUACGAGGUGCUGCAUGGUUGUCGUCAGCUCGUGCCGUGAGGUGUCGGGUUAAGUCCCAUAACGAGCGCAACCCUACCCUUUAGUUGCCAUCAGGUAAUGCUGGGGACUCUAAAGAAACUGCCUACGCAAGUAGUGAGGAAGCGGGGAUGACGUCAAAUCAGCACGGCCCUUACGUCCAGGGCUACACACGUGCUACAAUGGCCGAUACAGAGGGCAGCUACCUGGUGACAGGAUGCAAAUCUCCAAAGUCGGUCUCAGUUCGGAUCGGAGUCUGCAACCCGACUCCGUGAAGUUGGAUUCGCUAGUAAUCGCGCAUCAGCCAUAGCGCGGUGAAUACGUUCCCGGGCCUU